UUUGAGCGAAUUCAUCGCAGUAAUUUGGUGGGCAUGGGUAUUAUUCCGCUAUGUUUUAAGCCCGGUGAGGAUGCUGAGACACUUGGAUUGACUGGUCAUGAACGCUAUAGCAUCGAACUUCCAAGCAGUGUGAGCGAAAUUAGACCUGGUCAAGAUGUCACGGUUGUGACAGACAAUGGCAAGUCAUUCACAUGUACUUUACGUUUUGAUACUGAGGUGGAACUGGCAUAUUUUGAUCAUGGAGGCAUUUUGCAAUAUGUCAUUCGGAACCUGAUUUAUGCAAAACAAUGAAAAAGCAACAGCUCAAUUAUCAAUAAGGUCAGUUUGCAGCUGCGAAGCAAACAGGUAAUAAAAGAUUUGGCAACAAUGCAUGAGAUGUCCUUUUUGUUGCAGAGCCCUAUCAUUUUAUGAAUAAAUAAAGAAGUGAAAAAGGGAUUAUUCGAGGGUUGACAGAUAUUAAUGCCAAAAUCCAGUUCACCAUAGAUAUUUGGCGUUAAACGUUUGAUUUUUGGAUUAAAGAGAAAAACUAUCCAGUGACUCGUAUUGUUUGUUUAGAAAAAGUGUAAUUGAACCGAUGAUUUGGUAGCUUAAAUUUUUAUAAAAUGCUGCUUCAAAGCUGGUUACUAUUGCUGUAUGGUAUUUUCUUAGAAAGAUGGUGUGGAUUUGUCAUUACGUAUCGGAUGACAAAUCCACACCAUCUUUCUAAGAAAAUACCAUACAGCAAUAG
This 727-nucleotide unclassified non-coding RNA is filed under the name Hevea brasiliensis (rubber tree). Lineage: Eukaryota; Viridiplantae; Streptophyta; Magnoliopsida; Malpighiales; Euphorbiaceae. The record is from RNAcentral.